RNAcentral lists this ribosomal RNA (832 nucleotides) under Kluyveromyces marxianus. Its description in RNAcentral is "LSU rRNA". The stretch from base 148 to 832 matches the Rfam family "Eukaryotic large subunit ribosomal RNA", at positions 1 to 727 of the family's 3401-position model. Lineage: Eukaryota; Fungi; Ascomycota; Saccharomycetes; Saccharomycetales; Saccharomycetaceae. The record is from RNAcentral.
GUCUAUGGACUCGACUCUUGCACAUCUACGUCUUAGGUUUGCGCCAAUUCGUGGUAAGCUUGGGUCAUAGAGACUCAUAGGUGUUAUAAAGACUCGCUGGUGUUUGUCUCCUUGAGGCAUACGGCUUUAACCAAAACUCUCAAAGUUUGACCUCAAAUCAGGUAGGAGUACCCGCUGAACUUAAGCAUAUCAAUAAGCGGAGGAAAAGAAACCAACCGGGAUUGCCUUAGUAACGGCGAGUGAAGCGGCAAAAGCUCAAAUUUGAAAUCUGGCGUCUUCGACGUCCGAGUUGUAAUUUGAAGAAGGCGACUUUGUAGCUGGUCCUUGUCUAUGUUCCUUGGAACAGGACGUCAUAGAGGGUGAGAAUCCCGUGUGGCGAGGAUCCCAGUUAUUUGUAAAGUGCUUUCGACGAGUCGAGUUGUUUGGGAAUGCAGCUCUAAGUGGGUGGUAAAUUCCAUCUAAAGCUAAAUAUUGGCGAGAGACCGAUAGCGAACAAGUACAGUGAUGGAAAGAUGAAAAGAACUUUGAAAAGAGAGUGAAAAAGUACGUGAAAUUGUUGAAAGGGAAGGGCAUUUGAUCAGACAUGGCGUUUGCUUCGGCUUUCGCUGGGCCAGCAUCAGUUUUAGCGGUUGGAUAAAUCCUCGGGAAUGUGGCUCUGCUUCGGUAGAGUGUUAUAGCCCGUGGGAAUACAGCCAGCUGGGACUGAGGAUUGCGACUUUUGUCAAGGAUGCUGGCGUAAUGGUUAAAUGCCGCCCGUCUUGAAACACGGACCAAGGAGUCUAACGUCUAUGCGAGUGUUUGGGUGUAAAACCCCGUACGCGUAAUGAAAGUG